GACGAACGCUGGCGGCGUGCUUAACACAUGCAAGUCGAACGGAGAGGCCCUGCUGUUGUGGUGUGCUCGAGUGGCGAACGGGUGAGUAACACGUGAGUAACCUGCCCUUGACUUUGGGAUAACUUCAGGAAACUGGGGCUAAUACCUGAUAGGAGCGCCUGCUGCAUGGUGGGGGUGGGAAAGUUUCGGCGGUUGGGGAUGGACUCGCGGCUUAUCAGCUUGUUGGUGGGGUAGUGGCGUACCAAGGCUUUGACGGGUAGCCGGCCUGAGAGGGUGAACGGCGACAUUGGGACUGCGAUACGGACCAGACGCGUACGGGAGGCAGCAGUGGGGAAUAUUGCACAAUGGGCCGAAGCCUGAUGCAGCAACGCCGCGUGCGGGAUGAUGGCCUUCGGGUUGUAAACCGCUUUCGCCUGUGACGAAGCGUGAGUGACGGUAAUCGGUAAAGAAGCCCCGGCUAACCACGUG
Molecule: ribosomal RNA, 468 nt
Filed under: uncultured bacterium
Lineage: Bacteria
Description: partial 16S ribosomal RNA
Rfam family: Bacterial small subunit ribosomal RNA
Source: RNAcentral